ACGAACGCUGGCGGCGUGCCUAAUACAUGCAAGUCGAACGGUCUUUCUAUGGAAGCUUGCUUCCACUGAGAAGAUAGUGGCGAACGGGUGAGUAACACGUGGGUAACCUGCCCAUAAGAGGGGGAUAACAUCCGGAAACGGGUGCUAAUACCGCAUAGUUUUCUUGAUCGCAUGAUUGAGAAAGGAAAGACGGCCUUUGUGCUGUCGCUUAUGGAUGGACCCGCGGCGUAUUAGUUAGUUGGUGAGGUAAUGGCUCACCAAGACGAUGAUACGUAGCCGACCUGAGAGGGUGAUCGGCCACAUUGGGACUGAGACACGGCCCAAACUCCUACGGGAGGCAGCAGUAGGGAAUCUUCCGCAAUGGACGAAAGUCUGACGGAGCAACGCCGCGUGAGUGAAGAAAGGUUUUCGGAUCGUAAAACUCUGUUGUCAGAGAAGAACAAGUUGGAGAGUAACUGCUCCAGCCUUGACGGUAUCUGACCAGAAAGCCACGGCUAACUACGUGCCAGCCGCGGC
Molecule: ribosomal RNA, 516 nt
Filed under: uncultured bacterium
Lineage: Bacteria
Description: bacterial SSU rRNA
Rfam family: Bacterial small subunit ribosomal RNA
Source: RNAcentral